Molecule: ribosomal RNA, 319 nt
Filed under: uncultured soil bacterium
Lineage: Bacteria
Description: bacterial SSU rRNA
Rfam family: Bacterial small subunit ribosomal RNA
Source: RNAcentral
AGAGCGAACGUUAGCGGCGGGCCUAACACAUGCAAGUCGAGCGAGAAAGGGCUUCGGCCUGAGUACAGCGGCGGACGGGUGAGGAACACGUAGGUAAUCUGCCCUUCAGUGGAGGACAACGGUCCGAAAGGACCGCUAAUACUGCAUACGUUCCACGGGACCUCGGUCCUGUGGAGGAAAGCCUCGCAAGGGGCGCUGAAGGAGGAGCCUGCGUCGCAUCAGCUAGUUGGUGGGGUAACGGCCUACCAAGGCGAAGACGCGUAGCUGGUCUGAGAGGAUGAUCAGCCACACUGGGACUGAGACACGGCCCAGACUCCUA